This 468-nucleotide ribosomal RNA is filed under the name uncultured bacterium. RNAcentral describes it as "partial 16S ribosomal RNA". It matches the Rfam family "Bacterial small subunit ribosomal RNA", at positions 28 to 507 of the family's 1533-position model. The record is from RNAcentral.
GACGAACGCUGGCGGCGUGCUUAACACAUGCAAGUCGAACGGAAAGGCCCUGCUCUUGUGGGGUGCUCGAGUGGCGAACGGGGGAGUAACACGUGAGUAACCUGCCCUUGACUUUGGGAUAACUUCAGGAAACUGGGGCUAAUACCGGAUAGGAGCUCCUGCUGCAUGGUGGGGGUUGGAAAGUGUCGGCGGUUGGGGAUGGACUCGCGGCUUAUCAGCUUGUUGGUGGGGUAGUGGCUUACCAAGGCUUUGACGGGUAGCCGGCCUGAGAGGGUGACCGGCCACAUUGGGACUGAGAUACGGCCCAGACUCCUACGGGAGGCAGCAGUGGGGAAUAUUGCACAAUGGGCGGAAGCCUGAUGCAGCAACGCCGCGUGCGGGAUGACGGCCUUCGGGUUGUAAACCGCUUUCGCCUGUGACGAAGCGUGAGUGACGGUAAUGGGUAAAGAAGCACCGGCUAACUACGUG